GACGAACGCUGGCGGCGUGCUUAACACAUGCAAGUCGAGCGGUAAGGCCCUUUCGGGGUACGACGAGCGGCGAACGGGUGAGUAACACGUGGGUGACCUGCCCUCCAGCUCUGGGAUAAGCCUGGGAAACCGGGUCUAAUACCGGAUAUGACUCCAUGACGCAUGUUGUGGGGUGGAAAGCCUUGUGCGGCUGAGGAUGGGCCCGCGGCCUAUCAGCUUGUUGGUGGGGUGAUGGCCUACCAAGGCGACGACGGGUAGCCGGCCUGAGAGGGCGACCGGCCACACUGGGACUGAGACACGGCCCAGACUCCUACGGGAGGCAGCAGGUGGGGAAUCUUGCGCAAUGGGCGAAAGCCUGACGCAGCGACGCCGCGUGAGGGAUGACGGCCUGG
This 392-nucleotide ribosomal RNA is filed under the name uncultured bacterium. RNAcentral describes it as "bacterial SSU rRNA". It matches the Rfam family "Bacterial small subunit ribosomal RNA", at positions 28 to 419 of the family's 1533-position model. The record is from RNAcentral.